GCUAUUGAGUGAAAGAAUGAAGAAUUAUAAUUCCAGGAAGUUAGUUAUUACUGCCUGUCAGUGACUGGCCGCAGUUUGUUUCUGGUGCGGUUGGAUGUGCACAUCGGGACCAUUAUGUCCGUUUACAAGGAUGGAGGAAGGAGCCGUGCACUGCAGGGCGGCCAAGGGUCUGCCGGGACCGAGGUCAGGCGUCUCUCCUGCUCGCUGCAGAGCAGCGGAGGCUCCGCUACUCCAAUAUCUUCUGCCUUCCACUUCCUGUGUGGGGUCCACAUCGAUUCCUAACUCCCCAGCGUCUUGCACAUCUGAUGUACACGGUUUCAGACGUGCAAGAGAGAGAAUAUGAUCUCUUGACAUGACUUGGAACCCACCCUGGUGAGAAUGGCUGCUUCUCCUGUUUCUGCCUCUCCAGUGCUAGAAUUCCAGACACAUACCUCUGCUCGGCUUUGACAUGGUUGUUGAAGGCUAAACCCAGGUCCUCAUGACUGCACCACCUUUCACAGACUGAGUCAUUGCCCCGGUCCUCUCAUUCUGUUUACAAAAGUGCUCUUUCGUCCUAGAGUCACAAAUCAGGACAACCGAGUGAUAGGUACUCUCUCACUGACAAAAUGAGCAGAGGCAAGGCAAAUUAAAGGGUAAAGGCAGGGUUAUUGGGAGUAGCUCUAGGUGAGUUCAGCGACCUCACAGGAGGGGGUCAGUGAAGUGGCCAUGCAGAGGGAGACUGAGAAGUGGGGGUGGGCAGAGAGAGAAGGCAUGCACAGAGAGGAACGAGGAAAUUCAGAGAGAGAGAGAGAGACAGACAGACACACAGACACAUACCGAGAGAACCCUAAAUGUCUGGAUUAUACAGUGAAGAGCCUCUAAGGGAGAGGAAGCCCCGCCCCUGGGCUGGAAAGACCAGGGUAGAGCGCUGGGUAUGCGCUGUAACAAGUAGGGAGUGAGGGAUGCUGGGACAACCUGGAGGCCAGGUCUGCUUUGGUUAAAAAAUGCCCCUCAGCUGCUUGUCCUGGUCUGAAUGUCAACACGUCAGGUUGUUUGCUGUAGUUUUGUCCUUUGACAUCUCCCUCAGUAGAGCACACCUGGCUCGGGCUUGCGGUUCUGACCUUCUCUGCCAGCCCAGGGGUUGACACUGAAAGGACGCCAUUCGGCAAACAGAAAGACCAAAGCUCAGUGGGGCUGGCUGGCAGGCUGUGCGACGGAUCUGCUUGACAGAAGAUGUAUCUGAUGAGCUGAGGGAAUCUGAUCCAUGGUCCGGAUCAGAGUGCUCGCUGCAUUCUCCUGAACCAGGUUGCUCUGUUAUAGGUAAAGACGACUGAGAGUUCUAGUCCAUAUCUCUGAACAAAAAUUUAACAGAGCCACACUGAAAACAAUGAUAUGCAAAUUUUGGGGUGUCUUUGAGUUUGACAGAGGCCUUCUUGGCUCUUAAUGAGCUUAUCUUGUUGGGUGGCGCAGCCACCAAAGCCACGCUGAACCGGUGGAUUUGUGGGCUUUGUCUCCUGAAUUCAAAGGAUGAAAUUCAUGGACCACAGAGGAUAAAUUGUAGCAAGAAGUUCAUUAUCGAAUCCAAUAAAGAGGUAGAGUUCUGAAGAGCUGAGCUCUGGUCCCAUGUUUUCAGGGCAAGCACUAACUGCUGAGCCAUCUCCCUAGGCCCUCGGA
This is a long non-coding RNA of Meriones unguiculatus (Mongolian gerbil), 1653 nucleotides long. RefSeq lists it as uncharacterized. Lineage: Eukaryota; Metazoa; Chordata; Mammalia; Rodentia; Muridae. The record is from RefSeq and is a predicted model, not a curated record. The transcript has 3 exons.